GAUGAACGCUAGCUACAGGCUUAACACAUGCAAGUCGAGGGGCAGCGGUAUCGAAAGCUUGCUUUCGGUAGCCGGCGACCGGCGCACGGGUGAGUAACGCGUAUCGAACCUGCCUCAUACUCGGGAAUAGCCUUGCGAAAGUAAGAUUAAUGCCCGGUGUUUUCAGAGUCCCGCAUGAGGCUUUGAACAAAGAUUUAUCGGUAUGAGAUGGCGAUGCGUCCCAUUAGCUUGUUGGCGGGGUAACGGCCCACCAAGGCAUCGAUGGGUAGGGGUUCUGAGAGGAAGGUCCCCCACAUUGGAACUGCGACACGGUCCAAACUCCUACGGGAGGCAGCAGUGAGGAAUAUUGGUCAAUGGGCGGAAGCCUGAACCAGCCAAGUAGCGUGCAGGAAGACGGCCCUCCGGGUGGUAAACUGCUUUUAGUUGGGAAUAAAACGGGGCUCGUGAGCCCCCUUGCAUGUACCAUCAGAAAAAGGACCGGCUAAUUCCGUG
This 492-nucleotide ribosomal RNA is filed under the name uncultured bacterium. RNAcentral's name for it is "partial 16S ribosomal RNA". It matches the Rfam family "Bacterial small subunit ribosomal RNA", at positions 28 to 507 of the family's 1533-position model. The record is from RNAcentral.